This 253-nucleotide ribosomal RNA is filed under the name uncultured bacterium. RNAcentral's name for it is "partial 16S ribosomal RNA". It matches the Rfam family "Bacterial small subunit ribosomal RNA", at positions 524 to 776 of the family's 1533-position model. The record is from RNAcentral.
UACGUAGGGGGCAAGCGUUGUUCGGAAUUACUGGGCGUAAAGGGCGCGUAGGCGGUUCGUUAAGUCCUGUGUGAAAUCCCCCGGCUCAACUGGGGAACUGCACAGGAAACUAGCGGGCUUGAGUUCGGGAGAGGGAAGCGGAAUUCCGGGUGUAGCGGUGAAAUGCGUAGAUAUCCGGAGGAACACCGGUGGCGAAGGCGGCUUCCUGGACCGACACUGACGCUGAGGCGCGAAAGCUAGGGGAGCAAACGGG